GACGAACGCUGGCGGCGUGCUUAACACAUGCAAGUCGAACGGAAAGGCCCUGCUUUUGUGGGGUGCUCGAGUGGCGAACGGGUGAGUAACACGUGAGUAACCUGCCCUUGACUUUGGGAUAACUUCAGGAAACUGGGGCUAAUACCGGAUAGGAGCUCCUGCUGCAUGGUGGGGGUUGGAAAGUUUCGGCGGUUGGGGAUGGACUCGCGGCUUAUCAGCUUGUUGGUGGGGUAGUGGCUUACCAAGGCUUUGACGGGUAGCCGGCCUGAGAGGGUGACCGGCCACAUUGGGACUGAGAUACGGCCCAGACUCCUACGGGAGGCAGCAGUGGGGAAUAUUGCACAAUGGGCGGAAGCCUGAUGCAGCAACGCCGCGUGCGGGAUGACGGCCUUCGGGUUGUAAACCGCUUUCGCCUGUGACGAAGCGUGAGUGACGGUAAUGGGUAAAGAAGCACCGGCUAACUACGUGCCAGCAGCCGCGGUGAUACGUAGGGUGCGAGCGUUGUCCGGAUUUAUUGGGCGUAAAGGGCUCGUAGGUGGUUGAUCGCGUCGGAAGUGUAAUCUUGGGGCUUAACCCUGAGCGUGCUUUCGAUACGGGUUGACUUGAGGAAGGUAGGGGAGAAUGGAAUUCCUGGUGGAGCGGUGGAAUGCGCAGAUAUCAGGAGGAACACCAGUGGCGAAGGCGGUUCUCUGGGCCUUUCCUGACGCUGAGGAGCGAAAGCGUGGGGAGCGAACAGGCUUAGAUACCCUGGUAGUCCACGCUGUAAACGGUGGGUACUAGGUGUGGGGUCCAUUCCACGGGUUCCGUGCCGUAGCUAACGCUUUAAGUACCCCGCCUGGGGAGUACGGCCGCAAGGCCAAAACUCAAAGGAAUUGACGGGGCCCCGCACAAGCGGCGGAGCAUGCGGAUUAAUUCGAUGCAACGCGUAGAACCUUACCUGGGUUUGACAUGGAUCGGGAGUGCUCAGAGAUGGGUGUGCCUCUUUUGGGGUCGGUUCACAGGUGGUGCAUGGCUGUCGUCAGCUCGUGUCGUGAGAUGUUGGGUUAAGUCCCGCAACGAGCGCAACCCUUGUUCACUGUUGCCAGCACGUUAUGGUGGGGACUCAGUGGAGACCGCCGGGGUCAACUCGGAGGAAGGUGGGGAUGACGUCAAGUCAUCAUGCCCCUUAUGUCCAGGGCUUCACGCAUGCUACAAUGGCUGGUACAGAGAGUGGCGAGCCUGUGAGGGUGAGCGAAUCUCGGAAAGCCGGUCUCAGUUCGGAUUGGGGUCUGCAACUCGACCUCAUGAAGUCGGAGUCGCUAGUAAUCGCAGAUCAGCAACGCUGCGGUGAAUACGUUCCCGGGGCU
Molecule: ribosomal RNA, 1346 nt
Filed under: uncultured bacterium
Lineage: Bacteria
Description: partial 16S ribosomal RNA
Rfam family: Bacterial small subunit ribosomal RNA
Source: RNAcentral